CUGGCCGUGCACAGCCAGCAGGGUGGCUUUUUCAUCAAAUAGAUUCAAGAGCAACCUGAGAGCGGCAGGAGAAGGAAGACCCUCGUGACCACGUCAGAAGCAGAAAAGCUGAGGAAGCUGCAGUGCCAGCGCAGAAGAUGUGGGAAGAAAUAUCUACAAACAUUGGAGAUUUCCAUUCGCUUCUUUCUGACCCUUGUAGUUUCUUGACCCUAUAGUUCUGAAUCUGAGCUUGGGCCUCGCCUAGGAAGAGCCUCUGCAAACAAAGCCAAGGGUUUGCAGGCCUGCUGUCCCCUUCUUGAGCACUGGGGAGCCCUUGAGUACCGUGGAGGGAGUGAGGCUCCCGAUGGUUGGCACCAGCCGCCUGAUGUGGC
This 371-nucleotide long non-coding RNA is filed under the name Heterocephalus glaber (naked mole-rat). Its description in RNAcentral is "lncRNA (ENSHGLG00100034460.1)". Lineage: Eukaryota; Metazoa; Chordata; Mammalia; Rodentia; Bathyergidae. The record is from RNAcentral.